GGGGGUGCCUCUUGGUGAGGACAGUAAAAUCGACACUUACUUAGGCGGGUUCGAAUCCCGUCACCUCCACCA
RNAcentral lists this transfer RNA (72 nucleotides) under Candidatus Altimarinota bacterium. RNAcentral describes it as "tRNA-Lys". The record is from RNAcentral. Lineage: Bacteria; Candidatus Altimarinota.